This is a long non-coding RNA of Nasonia vitripennis (jewel wasp), 1357 nucleotides long. RefSeq lists it as uncharacterized. The record is from RefSeq and is a predicted model, not a curated record. The transcript is spliced from 4 exons. Lineage: Eukaryota; Metazoa; Arthropoda; Insecta; Hymenoptera; Pteromalidae.
UGAUAGAUGCACCUGGAAGCCUCGAGGAGCUUUAUCCAUACUACAUUGUGAAAUUUAUUAGUUCCGGGAGAAGACCCCGAAUUGACGUAGUAGCAACCAAGUGGCUAACUUUUGAUGUGAAGAAAAAGAAACUUCUGACACGAUACCCAAGUCCACCAUACACAAAUACAAUUUUCCACCAGCUGAAUAAGGCAUUAAGAAAUUUGUCAGAUGCCCUCUGUACUUAGAACACGUAUACCUUGAAACUAAAGGGAAAAGCAAAAAACCUCGAGAAUGCCUAAAAAAAUUGGAGCUUCUGAAAGAAAAGGAUACAGCUUACAUAAUAUCAUCCGGGGAUAGUUGUACUAAAGUCAAAAAGAAAGCUGAAGAGGAGUUACGCAAGAAUAAGUUUAGUAGAGCAGCUUUAGCAUUCGAGUCUGCAUUGAGCCAACCCGUUAUGCCUAAAGAAAAUAAUCAGGAUGGCAAUAUGUAACAGAAUGUACAAAAUAUUUAUUUACAGAUUUUCUUUAACGUUCAAGCAGUAUGUCACAUCCAUUGCAAUAUACGAGUAGAUGAUUUCAACGGAGCAGAACUGCAGUUAAGACUAGUACACACAAUAAAAUGACUAACACUGCAGCAAGAACAAACAAAAAGAGUUGCGAUUCACAAAAACAGACAAUAUGUGAGGUACUACUCAGGCACAAAAUUUGUCAAAUGCACCUGCACCAAAGAGUAAUUUGUUCGAACCGAAGGAAACUGUAGAAAUAGAGACUACUUUAUCUUCACAAGAAGAGACUGCUUUAUCCACUCAAUAAUCAGACACUGCUUUAUUCGUACAAUCAACUGUACAUCAAACUGGAACUGCUUUAUCUGUACGUCAAGGUGCUUUAUCAACUGAUUCAUCUGUACAAAGUAAUCCUCCCGUACGCAAUAGAACUGGUUACUAUAUACAGCGCAAAGUUAACAAUAGAGAAAAUUCUUCAUUUGCAAAUAAUUCAGCUAUUCUUUUUGCACAAGACAAGGGCGUACUGAAUAUUUCUUCAUCUAAUUUAGUUGCUCGUGAUGAUCCUCUAGUCGGAGUUUCUAGUUCAUCUGCGAAAGUCAGUCUCUAUCAAGUUUUGCUUGACUUUUAAUCAAAAUUUACAACAAGAUGAAUCAUCACAUGAGGCAGUGGCACAAGUUUUAGAUUAACUUUUAGAAAGUCAAAGGUUAGGCGAGUUUGAUAUAUUCCGCAACGAAAUUACAAAUAAAAAAGAACUAAGAUCAAUCAAACAAAGUCAAGUUUAUUAUAUUUUAUCGUAAUGAAGUAAGGAACAGCUCUCAAGAUAAUUACUACGUAACUUGCUAUGCCCGUUUCAUUGUACUUAUGGUGUUUGUA